RNAcentral lists this long non-coding RNA (994 nucleotides) under Salmo trutta (river trout). Its description in RNAcentral is "lncRNA (ENSSTUG00000022564.1)". Lineage: Eukaryota; Metazoa; Chordata; Actinopteri; Salmoniformes; Salmonidae. The record is from RNAcentral.
CAGUCGUAGAGCGCUGGUGUAUGGCCCCGUAGUCCAAAAGAUAGACAUCAACAAGGACGGAAUCCAGGGAACCCUUUUAAUACCAGCAGGUCCUGGACCAUUCCCUGCUGUGCUGGAGCUAUCUGGGGGAGGAGGGGGGCUGUUUGAGCAUCGCUCCUCCCUGUUAGCCUCCCAAAGCUACGUCUCCUUUGUGCUGCAGUACCUCACGGACUUCCCUACAACAGUUGCCAUAGGAUGCAUGUACUUUGAGGUGGCCAGUGAUAGAGUGGCUGUGUUUGGCUCCUCACUGGGAAUCCUUAUCCCUGGCCGUUUACUCUGAUGUCAUUAAUGUGAGUAUUACACGCCUUCCUCUUUGAAUUUGACUUGUUUGAUUGAUAACCAGUUAAUUACUGAACGCAAAUACUGUAAACAAUUAUUUUACAGGUGCUCUGUAGACACAACCCUCUCCUGUUUUCCAACAUAUUUUUUGAUAAUUCCCCUCUUUUCCAGCCCAGAUGUAUGGUGUGUAUAAGUGGCAGCCAUGUUUUCCCUUUUAGAUUGUCCCUUGUGUCAAUAGCUGACAAGUACAGCACGUGAGUGUGUUUUAACCUAUUCUAAAGCAAUGGUAAAUUACCUCAUUUGGAAUACACUGAAAUUAUAGUUGUAUUUUGCUCAAAUCCCUAGAAAUAUGCACAAGAUGCACUUUGAUGAGAACAACCAUUUGAGCCCAUCACUGAGAGUGGCCCUAAAGUUGAGGUGAUGAUAUCUCUCAGACUGCAUUGUAUGCACACUAUACUGUAUGUACUUGCACAGUGAGGAUCUGACAUGUGUUUGGACCUAUUUGUUGACCCCAUAGCUCAGGAGGUUAAAGUGUCCAUUACUGAUGGUCAUUGGAGAAGCCAGAACUGACCAGAACUGUGCCACUGCAGAAUCUGUCCAGGAUGUAAGUACUGUACAUUUGAGUUAUUUAGUAGACAGUCUUGUCCAGAGCAACAUACAUGAGCAAUUAGGGUUA